AAUCAACGCUGGCGGCGUGCCUCAGACAUGCAAGUCGAACGAUUAAACUUUCCUUCGGGAAAGAUAUAAAGUGGCGCACGGGUGAGUAACACGUAGGUAAUGUACCUUUGGGUGGGGAAUAACCAUCGGAAACGAUGGCUAAUACCGCAUAAUGCAGCGGCAUCGCAAGAUGACAGUUGUUAAAGAUUUAUCGCCUAAAGAGCAGCCUGCGGCAGAUUAGGUAGNGGUAAGGUAAUGGCUUACCAAGCCUGCGAUCUGUAACCGACCUGAGAGGGUGGUCGGUCACACUGACACUGAAUAACGGGUCAGACUCCUACGGGAGGCAGCAGUCGGGAAUUUUGGGCAAUGGGCGAAAGCCUGACCCAGCAACGCCGCGUGAAGGACGAAGUCUUUCGGG
Molecule: ribosomal RNA, 397 nt
Filed under: uncultured bacterium
Lineage: Bacteria
Description: bacterial SSU rRNA
Rfam family: Bacterial small subunit ribosomal RNA
Source: RNAcentral